GCCUUAGUACGGCGAGUGAAGCGGCAAAAGCUCAAAUUUGAAAUCUGGUACCUUUGGUGCCCGAGUUGUAAUUUGGAGAGUGCCACUUUGGGACUGUACUUUGCCUAUGUUCCUUGGAACAGGACGUCAUGGAGGGUGAGAAUCCCGUGUGGCGAGGGUGUCAGUUCUUUGUAAAGGGUGCUCGAAGAGUCGAGUUGUUUGGGAAUGCAGCUCUAAGUGGGUGGUAAAUUCCAUCUAAAGCUAAAUACAGGCGAGAGACCGAUAGCGAACAAGUACAGUGAUGGAAAGAUGAAAAGAACUUUGAAAAGAGAGUGAAAAAGUACGUGAAAUUGUUGAAAGGGAAGGGCAUUUGAUCAGACAUGGUGUUUUGCGCCCCUUGCCUCUCGUGGGCUUGGGACUCUCGCAGCUCACUGGGCCAGCAUCGGUUUUGGUGGCCGGAAAAAACCUAGGGAAUGUGGCUCUGCGCCUCGGUGUAGAGUGUUAUAGCCCUGGGGAAUACGGCCAGCCGGGACCGAGGACUGCGAUACUUGUUAUCUAGGAUGCUGGCAUAAUGGUUAUAUGCCGCCCGUCUUGA
This 574-nucleotide ribosomal RNA is filed under the name Nakaseomyces glabratus. Its description in RNAcentral is "eukaryotic LSU rRNA". It matches the Rfam family "Eukaryotic large subunit ribosomal RNA", at positions 77 to 657 of the family's 3401-position model. The record is from RNAcentral. Lineage: Eukaryota; Fungi; Ascomycota; Saccharomycetes; Saccharomycetales; Saccharomycetaceae.